RNAcentral lists this long non-coding RNA (401 nucleotides) under Pan troglodytes (chimpanzee). RNAcentral's name for it is "lincRNA". The record is from RNAcentral. Lineage: Eukaryota; Metazoa; Chordata; Mammalia; Primates; Hominidae.
GCGGCGCGGCGGGGACCGAGAGCUGCGGAGGGGCUGGAGGUACCCCACCGCGGGGUGGUGCUCUGACUGCGGGAACCGUUGAAGAGCUGCCCCCGGGGAGUCAGCGAGGCGCCACUGGUCUCUUAGACAUCUUCUCAAGAUUAUGCUAAGAGAAAUGACUGCACCCUUUUCCUGAGCUAUGGCAGUCAGACCUGGCAGUGGUAACUACUCUACAGAACUCCCAAACCUGGCAAGGAUGCUGCAGAUUUUGGCAGAUUAUGGCUUUGUCCCCACCCAGCACUGAUGAUAUUAUGAACAGACCUAUACUACAAGAAAUGAUAAUGGAAGUUCUUCAACUGAGCAAGAAAUGAUAUUAACAGAAAACUUGGAUCUUCGGGAGCAAAUGAAGAACAUCAGAAAUG